CGGACGUACUUUCGUGAGCUCUGACUAUUGAUGAAAAGUUUUCGCGUUAUAGAAUAGCGACUUGGUACUCAGGUUGUUGAAUGACUGGAUGACUGAAGUGUUAGGUUAUUGUUAUGAGAUAACAACUUGACUUUGACUUGAGUUGUGAAAUGAAAUCAUACUCUUAUGCGAUGAUAACUUUUGAACGUUUAGUACUGACUGACAACGAAUUUUUGUGAGCGUUAUAUAUGAAAUGUUUGACUUACAUUAAUUUUUUUGAACGACUUGACUUCAAUUUAAGUUUUGACAUCGGACUGAUCGGACGUGUUUUUUUAAGCCCUGACUGUUGUGAAUAAUUAAAUUUAUGUUGUGGUGUCAAGCGAUUGACUGUCAGUUGAGGUUCAGAUGUCGAGCUGUGCGGACGUGUUCAUCGAGCUGCUGUCUACAAAAAACGUGAGUACAAAUUUUUUUCGUUUUACUGUUUACAAGUUGCGUGAUGAUGUAUGAUGGUUGUAAUGUGUUGGGUAGAAAUUACUCAGUGCUGAUACAGUGUCGAUAUGUUGUGAUGAGCGAUAAUAGUGGAUGAUGGUGGAACAGAAUAUUCAUUGAGCUAUUUUGAGGAAGCGAACAUAUGAUGGAAAAAUGUUGCAAAAAUAUUAAAUGACAAUGUAUUGAAUCGCUUUUGUUGAUAUGUAUGAUAUUGAUUAAAUUGUAUUUGCAUGCUGUAACAUUUCUAUUCCAUUUCAGGGGGCUGUGGUGAGUAUUGUAGUAUAAAUUUGUUUCAAUAAAUCAUGAUGAAUGAAAACUGAUUUUGAUUCGUUUUGUACAGGUUUACUUGUAUAGAAGUGUAAUGCGUUGGGUAGAAAUUAGAAUCUACUCAGUACUGAUAUAGUGUCGAUAUGUUGUGAUUAGCGAUGAUGGUGUAUGAUGGUGGAACAGAACAUGAGCUACUUUGGGGAAACGAACAUAUGAUUGAAAAAUGAUUGCAAACAUAGUAGAUGAAUGAUAUGAUAUUGCUUAAAUUGUAUUUGCAUGCUGUAACAUUUCUAUUUCAUUUCAGGGUGCUGUGGUGAGUACUGUAGAUUGUAGUGCAUAUGUAUAGAAUUCAAUAAACGAUGAUGAAUGAAAACUGAUUUCGAUUCGUUUUGUGUAAUUUUAGGUAUUUUCACUCUAUCACAACUCUGUCGGUUGGUGUUCAUGAGUGUGAGACUAAUACAGCAAUGUUUGAGUAGUACAAAAAUGUUUUCGCUUUUGUGGUCGCCAGCUGUCCGUGAUCUGUAAAGUGAAAAUACACAGAGCUAUGAAGCAUACAGAUGUUUCGAAAUUUUAUCAAUGAUUGUAUACUAUGCAUGUUUUGAUUUAGUUCGUUUCAGAUUUGACAUGAGAUGAAAACCUGACAUGAUUUGAACAGAGCUGGGAAACGAAAAGGUAAGUCUGUUUCAUUCCACUAUGAACACUUGUAUUUUGACAAAAGAAGAGAUAAAGUGAGUUACUUUAUCAUCAUGGUUUCAUUUAGUGAACAGAGGUAAACCUAGCUAGCUUUUCGUGUACUCUAUUUUGGAUGAUGAGUAUGUCAGUAACUUUAAUUGUACGGCUAGUAAAGUAUGAACAUGAAUGCUUUGUUCAGAUUUUCAGAUGUGUGCUGGCAGUUCAAGUCUGGCAGCUGGAGUGAACAGUCGUGUUUUCUGGAGCUCCAACAAUAUGCUAGAAGGUAAGUAACUAUGUUUGUUUUGCAUUGCAUGUUUUUAUAUGUUUCAGACUUUCAAGCAGAGAUGUCAUGCUGACUGGAGUUGAGCACAGGGCAGUGACAAAGUGAAAGGUAAGUACUUUUGACUGAAUGUUUGUUCUAUGCAUGUUUUGUUUUAAUACAUUUCAGGAGUGCUUAUCCAGUGAUGAUAUGACAGUUGGAGUGAACAGUGGAGCCAAGCAGUCUUGUUUUUGGAGCUACUCAACAAGCCUUGAAGGUAAGUUUAGAAUUUCUCAAUGUUAGUGAAUUGAAGUACUGUCACUUGCUUUUGGACAGUCGAACAGAACAGACGUGGUUGCGAGAGCUCUCAUAUCUGUUGUGUUAAACUGUUUUUAUGAUAUGUUAUGUUUGUUUGUUUGUUUGUGAUGUACUAUUUUUCAGAUGCUGAUGGCAGUGAUGGGUUUUCAAGCUGACCUGAACAGAAAAGCACUCAUAUGGUAAGUACAAAAUAGUUGUUAUAUGGGAUGUUUUGUGCAUGCUUUUAUGUUUCAGGUGUACUUGCUGACAGCGACGAAGACGAAUCAAGAAGAGGAACAUUGUUGAGAAAGUGAUUGGGACUUGCAAACAGGGUAAGUGUAACACUUGUGUUUGUUUAAUUUGUAACAUGCGUGCUUUGCUCUGUUUCAGAUUUCACAUGCAGAAAUUAAACAGGAUUUCAACUGCUGAGACACAAUUCAUCAAAAGUAAGGUAAGUUUUAAUUCAUUGAUUUGAGUUGUACAAUGUGUUCUUUACUUUAUUUCAGAUUCGAGUCACUGGUUUACACAUGGAAGAAGAUUUCCACGUCUGUUACUCAACUCUACAGAAGCAAGAUGUUUUGUUUCAGUUGAUGUCCAGAUGGCAAGCAGUACAGACGUGUUUCUUGGAGCUGCCAAACAGUGAGUACAAACGUUUUAUAUUUUUCAGUUGUUUACUCAUAGAAGUCUGUGAAAGAUGAUAACAAGGGUUGAAUCUAUCAGCACUUGUGUCUAAAAAUGCUGAUGUGUGACGGUUUACUGAAAAGGGUAAAUGCUAGCCAGUACUUACACUUGAGCAACCGUGGGAUGUCGAACUAACUGAUGAUGUACUAUGAUGGUGAACACUUACUAUGUGUAUCAAAAUGCUUUUGUUGAUAUUUACUAUAGAUGAUUUGAUAUUGGUUAACAUUUGUUUGCAUGCUGUUAACAUUUCUAUUUCAUUUCAGGGAGCUGUGGUAAGUAUUGUAGUAUUAAUUUGUCUCAAUAAACGAUGAUGAAUGAAAACUGAUGUCGAUUCUUUUUGUACAGUUUUAGGUAUUAGCACUCUAUACAAAACUCUGUCGGUCGGUGUUUGUGAAUGUGAGCUUAAUGUUUGAGUAGAACAAAAAUGUCUUUACUUUUGUGAUCGCCAGUUGUCUGUGAUGUAAAGUGGAAAAAACACAGCUAUGAAGCAUACAAUUGUUUCAAUAUUUUAUCAAUGAUAGUGUGCUAUGCAUGUUUUGAUUUAGUUCGUUUCAGAUACGACAUGACAUGAAGAGUUGACAGUCGAACAGAGCUGAGCAAAGCAGAAAGGUAAGUGUGUUUCAUUUUAGUAUGAACACUUGUAUUUUGUUUUUAUAUGGUAUGUUUUGUGCAUGCUAUGUUUCAGGUGUACUUGUAGUCAGCGACGAAGACGAUUCAAGAAGAGGAACAUUGCUGAGAAAGUGAAUGGGACUUGCAAACAGGGUAAGUGUUACAAUUGUUUGUUUGAUUUUUACCAUGCAUACUUUGCUUUGCUCUGUUUCAGAUUUCACAUGCAGAAAUGGUCUCAUAGCAGUGCCAACAGUGAAUAAGGAUUUCAGCUGCUGUGAAACAACUCAACAGAAAGUAGGUAAGCAUUGAAUGAAUGCACUUGAGUUGUACAAUUUGAUGUGAUGCUUUUUUUCUGUUUCAGAUUCAAGUUUCUGGUGUAGACAGAAAAAUGUGUUUGAAGAAGGAAUUCUACUACUGUGAUUCAACUCUACAGAAGCAAGGUUUCAAUUGCAGAGAUGUUGCAGAGAUGUUUUGACAGCUUGUGACAGAAAAGAAAUUCAGCAGCUGUGUCUCGACUCUAGCCACGAGGUAAGUCAAAACAAAUAUACUGGUUUGUAUGUUAUGUUGUUAUGCCCUUCUAUGUUUCAGACUUACAUUGCUGUGACUGUUCCACAGUGGGUCAAAAAAGAGACGAAUACAGGUUUCAAGAAGAAAAUUGGCUGUUGAAAACCUGCACAAAAUAUGAGGUAAGUAAACUAUUCUUUUGGUUUGUUUUGUGCUUUGUUAUGCUUAACUAUUUUUCAGAUUGGAAUGGUGGGUCGUUACAGAGCAGACUUUUGGACAACUGAGAAGUUGAGAAACAGAGAAUGAUUCAAGAUCAGCUAGGUAAGUCUUGAUUAUUGUGCAUUGCUAAAUGUUUUUUUUCAUUCCAGUAUGGCUGUGGUAAGUACACAAACUUUCUAUAAUUUAAUAUUGAACUGUUUUUAUGACCUGUAUUCUGCAUUGUAAAAUGUCUGUUUUUCAUUUCAGUAUCCUGUGGUAAGUACACUAACUUUCUUUAAUUUUCAUAUUGAACUGUUUUGAUGACUUGUAUACUACUAUGCAAUGCCUAAUGUUUUUUUCAUUUCAGUAUAGCUGUGGUAAGUACACUAACUUUCUUUAAUUUUCAUAUUGAACUGUUUUGAUGACUUGUAUUCUGCUAAACAAAAUGUGCUUUUUUCAAUUUCAGGUCAGCAAUGGUAAGUAGAUUGUGUUUCUUUAUGUAUAAUUGUGUAUACAAAGUUUUUUUUUCAUCAUAGCAUGUCUUUUAUAUUUAUGCUUUGUGUAAGUAAAAUGUUCAUAAAUCAUUCUUAUCUUCAAACUAAAAAUGUAUUGUGCUAUGCAAAAUGUCUGUAUGUUUUCAGUUGCCAGAGGUGAGUACCAUUACAGUUGAAAAGUUAGUUUUGUUUAGUUAAAGUUUUGGUUCACAGUUUUGUUUGUUAUUUGGCAAAAUUUACAUGUAUGCAUUGAGUCUUGAUUUCAGCUCGAUUGUGGACUGAAGAAGAUUGCCAGCAGAGGGAUUGGAUACAAAAUACAAAGUAAGUACUGAGUUUCUUACUAAAAGUUUUGAGUUGUAUUCAUUGUGUGUAAAUAUGCUAUGAUUGCUAUGAACAUGACUUUUGUAUUUCAGCGAAGACAACAUAGGUAAGUAAAAUUGUUAUCUGUUUCAUGUUUACUGUUACAGUUCAAUAUUGUGUUUAUAAAUUUUAAGUUGUACAAACACAUUCAAAAGUUUCUAAUCAUGCUUUCGAUUUCAUUUCAGCUUUACUGCUAGACGAGUGUUCUCUACUACUUGACGAGUCAGCUUUACUACCAGGCGAGCAGUGACAACAAGGCGCCUUUGUGGAAACAACACAACAAAAAACUCUACUGCUAGACGAGCAGUGACAGAAAGGCGCCUGAACAUGCAACACAAUACAAAAAAUGCCAAUAUCCAAACCUUGAUGUGGACACCGAGUAGUCAAUACAUACGUGUGGCGUAUAGCUGCGACAAAACCGUGGGUCCAUCGCACCGAUAACUUGAACAUUGGCCCGUGUAUGGACAUCAGUGCAACUUUGUGAAUCCAUGUAUCUUUGUGAAUCCAUGUAACAUUGCGAAUGUGUGUCGAUCGAAAAAUGUGUACAUUCUGAACUGAAACGAACUCGGUGUUGCAAGUGGCAAGUGUUGACAGUGUGUAUGUUUAUGUUUAUGUUUUUACAUGAAAACUAAAGGAGAUUGUUCUCCUACCUUUUUUUUCCUUGUUUUAUUGCGCUGGCCAGCAAUAUUGAUGUAUUGAUGUAUGUGUUUGUGUUUAAACUAUGCAAUACCAAAAUCAAACAAAAAAUAAACAUUAACAGUCAUUAACUGUG
Dreissena polymorpha is the source of this 5581-nucleotide long non-coding RNA. RefSeq lists it as uncharacterized. The transcript is spliced from 5 exons. The record is from RefSeq and is a predicted model, not a curated record. NCBI's taxonomy places the organism in Eukaryota, Metazoa, Mollusca, Bivalvia, Myida, Dreissenidae.